AUCCGCGCUGCAUUAGCUAGUUGGUAAGGUAACGGCUUACCAAGGCAACGAUGCAUAGCCGACCUGAGAGGGUGAUCGGCCACACUGGAACUGAGACACGGUCCAGACUCCUACGGGAGGCAGCAGUAGGGAAUCUUCCGCAAUGGGCGAAAGCCUGACGGAGCAACGCCGCGUGAGUGAUGAAGGUCUUCGGAUCGUAAAACUCUGUUAUUAGGGAAGAACAUAUGUGUAAGUAACUGUGCACAUCUUGACGGUACCUAAUCAGAAAGCCACGGCUAACUACGUGCCAGCAGCCGCGGUAAUACGUAGGUGGCAAGCGUUAUCCGGAAUUAUUGGGCGUAAAGCGCGCGUAGGCGGUUUUUUAAGUCUGAUGUGAAAGCCCACGGCUCAACCGUGGAGGGUCAUUGGAAACUGGAAAACUUGAGUGCAGAAGAGGAAAGUGGAAUUCCAUGUGUAGCGGUGAAAUGCGCAGAGAUAUGGAGGAACACCAGUGGCGAAGGCGACUUUCUGGUCUGUAACUGACGCUGAUGUGCGAAAGCGUGGGGAUCAAACAGGAUUAGAUACCCUGGUAGUCCACGCCGUAAACGAUGAGUGCUAAGUGUUAGGGGGUUUCCGCCCCUUAGUGCUGCAGCUAACGCAUUAAGCACUCCGCCUGGGGAGUACGACCGCAAGGUUGAAACUCAAAGGAAUUGACGGGGACCCGCACAAGC
Molecule: ribosomal RNA, 710 nt
Filed under: Staphylococcus aureus
Lineage: Bacteria; Bacillati; Bacillota; Bacilli; Caryophanales; Staphylococcaceae
Description: bacterial SSU rRNA
Rfam family: Bacterial small subunit ribosomal RNA
Source: RNAcentral